UUAAGCGACUAAGCGUACACGGUGGAUGCCCUGGCAGUCAGAGGCGAUGAAGGACGUGCUAAUCUGCGAUAAGCGUCGGUAAGGUGAUAUGAACCGUUAUAACCGGCGAUUUCCGAAUGGGGAAACCCAGUGUGAUUCGUCACACUAUCAUUAACUGAAUCCAUAGGUUAAUGAGGCGAACCGGGGGAACUGAAACAUCUAAGUACCCCGAGGAAAAGAAAUCAACCGAGAUUCCCCCAGUAGCGGCGAGCGAACGGGGAGCAGCCCAGAGCCUGAAUCAGUGUGUGUGUUAGUGGAAGCGUCUGGAAAGGCGCGCGAUACAGGGUGACAGCCCCGUACACAAAAAUGCACAUGCUGUGAGCUCGAUGAGUAGGGCGGGACACGUGGUAUCCUGUCUGAAUAUGGGGGGACCAUCCUCCAAGGCUAAAUACUCCUGACUGACCGAUAGUGAACCAGUACCGUGAGGGAAAGGCGAAAAGAACCCCGGCGAGGGGAGUGAAAAAGAACCUGAAACCGUGUACGUACAAGCAGUGGGAGCACGCUUAGGCGUGUGACUGCGUACCUUUUGUAUAAUGGGUCAGCGACUUAUAUUCUGUAGCAAGGUUAACCGAAUAGGGGAGCCGAAGGGAAACCGAGUCUUAACUGGGCGUUAAGUUGCAGGGUAUAGACCCGAAACCCGGUGAUCUAGCCAUGGGCAGGUUGAAGGUUGGGUAACACUAACUGGAGGACCGAACCGACUAAUGUUGAAAAAUUAGCGGAUGACUUGUGGCUGGGGGUGAAAGGCCAAUCAAACCGGGAGAUAGCUGGUUCUCCCCGAAAGCUAUUUAGGUAGCGCCUCGUGAAUUCAUCUCCGGGGGUAGAGCACUGUUUCGGCAAGGGGGUCAUCCCGACUUACCAACCCGAUGCAAACUGCGAAUACCGGAGAAUGUUAUCACGGGAGACACACGGCGGGUGCUAACGUCCGUCGUGAAGAGGGAAACAACCCAGACCGCCAGCUAAGGUCCCAAAGUCAUGGUUAAGUGGGAAACGAUGUGGGAAGGCCCAGACAGCCAGGAUGUUGGCUUAGAAGCAGCCAUCAUUUAAAGAAAGCGUAAUAGCUCACUGGUCGAGUCGGCCUGCGCGGAAGAUGUAACGGGGCUAAACCAUGCACCGAAGCUGCGGCAGCGACGCUUAUGCGUUGUUGGGUAGGGGAGCGUUCUGUAAGCCUGCGAAGGUGUACUGUGAGGUAUGCUGGAGGUAUCAGAAGUGCGAAUGCUGACAUAAGUAACGAUAAAGCGGGUGAAAAGCCCGCUCGCCGGAAGACCAAGGGUUCCUGUCCAACGUUAAUCGGGGCAGGGUGAGUCGACCCCUAAGGCGAGGCCGAAAGGCGUAGUCGAUGGGAAACAGGUUAAUAUUCCUGUACUUGGUGUUACUGCGAAGGGGGGACGGAGAAGGCUAUGUUGGCCGGGCGACGGUUGUCCCGGUUUAAGCGUGUAGGCUGGUUUUCCAGGCAAAUCCGGAAAAUCAAGGCUGAGGCGUGAUGACGAGGCACUACGGUGCUGAAGCAACAAAUGCCCUGCUUCCAGGAAAAGCCUCUAAGCAUCAGGUAACAUCAAAUCGUACCCCAAACCGACACAGGUGGUCAGGUAGAGAAUACCAAGGCGCUUGAGAGAACUCGGGUGAAGGAACUAGGCAAAAUGGUGCCGUAACUUCGGGAGAAGGCACGCUGAUAUGUAGGUGAAGUCCCUCGCGGAUGGAGCUGAAAUCAGUCGAAGAUACCAGCUGGCUGCAACUGUUUAUUAAAAACACAGCACUGUGCAAACACGAAAGUGGACGUAUACGGUGUGACGCCUGCCCGGUGCCGGAAGGUUAAUUGAUGGGGUCAGCGCAAGCGAAGCUCUUGAUCGAAGCCCCGGUAAACGGCGGCCGUAACUAUAACGGUCCUAAGGUAGCGAAAUUCCUUGUCGGGUAAGUUCCGACCUGCACGAAUGGCGUAAUGAUGGCCAGGCUGUCUCCACCCGAGACUCAGUGAAAUUGAACUCGCUGUGAAGAUGCAGUGUACCCGCGGCAAGACGGAAAGACCCCGUGAACCUUUACUAUAGCUUGACACUGAACAUUGAGCCUUGAUGUGUAGGAUAGGUGGGAGGCUUUGAAGUGUGGACGCCAGUCUGCAUGGAGCCGACCUUGAAAUACCACCCUUUAAUGUUUGAUGUUCUAACGUUGACCCGUGAUCCGGGUUGCGGACAGUGUCUGGUGGGUAGUUUGACUGGGGCGGUCUCCUCCUAAAGAGUAACGGAGGAGCACGAAGGUUGGCUAAUCCUGGUCGGACAUCAGGAGGUUAGUGCAAUGGCAUAAGCCAGCUUGACUGCGAGCGUGACGGCGCGAGCAGGUGCGAAAGCAGGUCAUAGUGAUCCGGUGGUUCUGAGUGGAAGGGCCAUCGCUCAACGGAUAAAAGGUACUCCGGGGAUAACAGGCUGAUACCGCCCAAGAGUUCAUAUCGACGGCGGUGUUUGGCACCUCGAUGUCGGCUCAUCACAUCCUGGGGCUGAAGUAGGUCCCAAGGGUAUGGCUGUUCGCCAUUUAAAGUGGUACGCGAGCUGGGUUUAGAACGUCGUGAGACAGUUCGGUCCCUAUCUGCCGUGGGCGCUGGAGAACUGAGGGGGGCUGCUCCUAGUACGAGAGGACCGGAGUGGACGCAUCACUGGUGUUCGGGUUGUCAUGCCAAUGGCACUGCCCGGUAGCUAAAUGCGGAAGAGAUAAGUGCUGAAAGCAUCUAAGCACGAAACUUGCCCCGAGAUGAGUUCUCCCUGACCCUUUAAGGGUCCUGAAGGAACGUUGAAGACGACGACGUUGAUAGGCCGGGUGUGUAAGCGCAGCGAUGCGUUGAGCUAACCGGUACUAAUGAACCGUGAGGCUUAACCUU
Molecule: ribosomal RNA, 2902 nt
Filed under: Escherichia coli
Lineage: Bacteria; Pseudomonadati; Pseudomonadota; Gammaproteobacteria; Enterobacterales; Enterobacteriaceae
Description: bacterial LSU rRNA
Rfam family: Bacterial large subunit ribosomal RNA
Source: RNAcentral